RNAcentral lists this ribosomal RNA (419 nucleotides) under uncultured Bacteroidota bacterium. Its description in RNAcentral is "bacterial SSU rRNA". It matches the Rfam family "Bacterial small subunit ribosomal RNA", at positions 608 to 1029 of the family's 1533-position model. The record is from RNAcentral. Lineage: Bacteria; Pseudomonadati; Bacteroidota.
CUCAACCAUGGAAGUGCCUUCGAAACUGUUGCUCUUGAGUCCCGGAGAGGUUGUCGGAAUUCGUGGUGUAGCGGUGAAAUGCGUAGAUAUCACGAGGAACACCAGAGGCGAAAGCGGACAACUGGACGGGUACUGACGCUCGGGCACGAAAGCGUGGGGAGCAAACAGGAUUAGAUACCCUGGUAGUCCACGCCGUAAACGAUGGAUGCUCGCCGUUGCCUCGUUAAGGGGCAGUGGCUAAGCUAACGCGUUAAGCAUUCCGCCUGGGGAGUACGAUCGCAAGGUUGAAACUCAAAGGAAUUGACGGGGGCCCGCACAAGCGGUGGAGCAUGUGGCUCAACUCGAUGCAACGCGAAGAACCUUACCUAGGCUCGAACGCUAGGCGACCGCUCCUGAAAGGGAGUUUUCCGCAAGGACGC